Molecule: transfer RNA, 46 nt
Filed under: Ixodes hirsti
Lineage: Eukaryota; Metazoa; Arthropoda; Arachnida; Ixodida; Ixodidae
Description: partial tRNA-Leu
Source: RNAcentral
ACUAAUUUAGCAAAAAUAUAAUGUAUCAAUUUUAGAAUUUGAGGAU